UUUCACUUGUCUUCACUGCAGCAUGACUAAUAGAAACUUUCAGCUUUGCGUGCAUAUAUAAGCCCCUACAUAAGAAGACUUUGACAUUCUGCCUCAACACACAGAACCCCGAGAUCCAAACGCAAGAUAGAAAAUAGUGGCAAAGAUGUUCGUGAAAGCUAUGGUUGUUUUGGCCCUGGUGGUCUGCAUGGUGCAAGCCAAGCCAAGCUAUUUGGAACUGAGGCGUCGCGUGGAGGCCUUGGAAGAGGCAGUCCGUCCCAAAAGGUUUACAAAAUGCAGUCGUGAUGUAGUAGGAGAGUGCAAGUCCCCUCUCAACUGCGAUUCGCGAAAAGGUUUUCAUACCGUGGAUGCUUAUUGUGAUACCUUUGGGGAUGUCUGUUGUACCUGGUAAAGUCGGCCAUCAAUUUAAAGAAAAACAGCUCAAGUCGUUGUUUUUAACGAUAAAUAAUAAACGAGAUGUUUUGUAAACAGCC
This is a long non-coding RNA of Nematostella vectensis (starlet sea anemone), 473 nucleotides long. RefSeq lists it as uncharacterized. The record is from RefSeq and is a predicted model, not a curated record. The transcript is spliced from 4 exons. NCBI's taxonomy places the organism in Eukaryota, Metazoa, Cnidaria, Anthozoa, Actiniaria, Edwardsiidae.